RNAcentral lists this non-coding RNA (31 nucleotides) under Mus musculus (house mouse). Lineage: Eukaryota; Metazoa; Chordata; Mammalia; Rodentia; Muridae. The record is from RNAcentral.
UGACCAGUUUCUUUGCCUCUUUCACCAUGCC